AACGAACGCUGGCGGCAGGCUUAACACAUGCAAGUCGAACGCACUCUUCGGAGUGAGUGGCAGACGGGUGAGUAACGCGUGGGAAUGUGCCUAUCGGUACGGAAUAGCUCCGGGAAACUGGAAUUAAUGCCGUAUACGCCCCCUGGGGGAAAGAUUUAUCGCCGAUAGAUCAGCCCGCGUUAGAUUAGCUAGUUGGUAGGGUAAAGGCCUACCAAGGCUACGAUCUAUAGCUGGUCUGAGAGGAUGAUCAGCCACACUGGGACUGAGACACGGCCCAGACUCCU
This 284-nucleotide ribosomal RNA is filed under the name uncultured bacterium. Its description in RNAcentral is "partial 16S ribosomal RNA". It matches the Rfam family "Bacterial small subunit ribosomal RNA", at positions 29 to 340 of the family's 1533-position model. The record is from RNAcentral.